This 75-nucleotide transfer RNA is filed under the name Candidatus Tayloriibacteriota bacterium. RNAcentral's name for it is "tRNA-Asp". It matches the Rfam family "tRNA". Rfam says of the family: Transfer RNA (tRNA) molecules are approximately 80 nucleotides in length. The record is from RNAcentral. Lineage: Bacteria; Candidatus Tayloriibacteriota.
GCGGGCGUAGCUUAGCCCGGAUAAAGCGUCUGCCUGUCACGCAGAAGAUCACGGGUUCAAAUCCCGUCGCCCGCG